AACGAACGCUGGCGGCAUGCCUAAUACAUGCAAGUCGAACGAGAUCUUCGGAUCUAGUGGCGCACGGGUGCGUAACGCGUGGGAAUCUGCCCUUGGGUUCGGAAUAACAGUUAGAAAUGACUGCUAAUACCGGAUGAUGACGUAAGUCCAAAGAUUUAUCGCCCAAGGAUGAGCCCGCGUAGGAUUAGCUUGUUGGUGAGGUAAAGGCUCACCAAGGCUACGAUCCUUAGCUGGUCUGAGAGGAUGAUCAGCCACACUGGGACUGAGACACGGCCCAGACUCCUACGGGAGGCAGCAGUAGGGAAUAUUGGACAAUGGGCGAAAGCCUGAUCCAGCAAUGCCGCGUGAGCGAUGAAGGCCUUAGGGUUGUAAAGCUCUUUUACCCGGGAUGAUAAUGACAGUACCGGGAGAAUAAGCCCCGGCUAACUCCGUG
RNAcentral lists this ribosomal RNA (433 nucleotides) under uncultured organism. RNAcentral's name for it is "bacterial SSU rRNA". It matches the Rfam family "Bacterial small subunit ribosomal RNA", at positions 29 to 507 of the family's 1533-position model. The record is from RNAcentral.